Molecule: long non-coding RNA, 550 nt
Filed under: Papio anubis (olive baboon)
Lineage: Eukaryota; Metazoa; Chordata; Mammalia; Primates; Cercopithecidae
Description: lncRNA (ENSPANG00000048799.1)
Source: RNAcentral
AUCAGUCUUGACAGCGCAGAUGAAGUUUGUUAUUGUUUUCUGCCCUUCCCGAGGGACUUUGGAAAUGGCCCCCUGGGAGGUGAAUUCUUGGAAAGAAUACGAGGGCGGUUAAGGCGUCCCUGUCUCAAAGUCCGCUUUUUUUGCAGCUACCAGGGACUGCGAGGGUCUGCGUCCUGGGUGGAAGGAAGCGGCGUCAGUCAACUUCCUCGCAGCGGCGGCAGCGGCGCGGGCAGCGGCGGAGCGCGCGGGUCUGCGCAUCCCGCCCCCGGGUUGGGAAGGGGCGGAGCCGGGCGUCACCCGCCCCCGGCGGUCUCCUCCUCCCGGCCGCUCCCCCAAGCCGAGCCCGCCGCGGUCGCAGCCGCCUGCGGGAAGCUAGUGGCCGGGAACCCGAGGCGGGAGUGCGGGCUGGGCCGGGCUGGGCUGCGCGCACGGGCUCGGCCGCCGCCCCUGCCGGACAUCCCUUUGCUCUUCCAUCGUCUUCUGCCAUGAUUGUGAGGCCUCCCCAGCCAUGUGGAACUGUUGCAUCCCCUGUCCUGAGUGCGUGGCACGG